This 504-nucleotide ribosomal RNA is filed under the name uncultured bacterium. RNAcentral's name for it is "partial 16S ribosomal RNA". It matches the Rfam family "Bacterial small subunit ribosomal RNA", at positions 29 to 507 of the family's 1533-position model. The record is from RNAcentral.
ACGAACGCUGGCGGCGUGCCUAAUACAUGCAAGUAGAACGCACAGUUUAUACCGUAGCUUGCUACACCAUAGACUGUGAGUUGCUAACGGGUGAGUAACGCGUAGGUAACCUGCCUGGUAGCGGGGGAUAACUAUUGGAAACGAUAGCUAAUACCGCAUAAUAUUGAUUAUUGCAUGAUAAUUGAUUGAAAGAUGCUAUUGCAUCACUACCAGAUGGACCUGCGUUGUAUUAGCUAGUAGGUGAGGUAACGGCUCACCUAGGCGACGAUACAUAGCCGACCUGAGAGGGUGAUCGGCCACACUGGGACUGAGACACGGCCCAGACUCCUACGGGAGGCAGCAGUAGGGAAUCUUCGGCAAUGGACGAAAGUCUGACCGAGCAACGCCGCGUGAGUGAAGAAGGUUUUCGGAUCGUAAAGCUCUGUUGUAAGAGAAGAACGGGUGUGAGAGUGGAAAGUUCACACUGUGACGGUAUCUUACCAGAAAGAGACGGCUAACUACGUG